RNAcentral lists this ribosomal RNA (486 nucleotides) under uncultured bacterium. RNAcentral's name for it is "partial 16S ribosomal RNA". It matches the Rfam family "Bacterial small subunit ribosomal RNA", at positions 28 to 523 of the family's 1533-position model. The record is from RNAcentral.
GACGAACGCUGGCGGCGUGCUUAACACAUGCAAGUCGAACGGAUCUUCUCUUGACAGUAAUGUUGGGGGUUGGUUAGUGGCGAACGGGUGAGUAACACGUGAGAAACCUGCCCUGAAGACGGGGAUAACUGACCGAAAGGUCUGCUAAUACCCGAUGUCCUCUUACUGUCGCAUGGUGGUUUGAGGAAAUGGAUUCCGCUUUGGGGGGGUCUCGCGGGCGAUCAGCUUGUUGGUGAGGUAAUGGCUCACCAAGGCGACGACGGCUAGCUGGUCUGAGAGGACGACCAGCCACACUGGUACUGAGACACGGCCCAGACUCCUACGGGAGGCAGCAGUGGGGAAUCUUGCGCAAUGGGCGGAAGGCUGACGCAGCAACGCCGCGUGUGGGAUGACGGCUUUCGGGUUGUAAACCACUUUCAGCAGGAACGAAAUUGACGGUACCUGCAGAAGAAGCACCGGCCAACUACGUGCCAGCAGCCGCGGUAA